GAGGGAAGUAGUUCAUUUUAGUGACUGACAUCCAGAGAACAACAUGCUUGGUCCCCCAGCAUGCUUCAUCCUCAUCCUUCUCUGCCAGCUCACAGGGCCAGCAACCUCUGGAGCUCCAAAAGAACUGGUUGGUGACCUUGGUGGGUCUGUGACUUUCCCUCUGAAGCUCCCAGGAAUUCAGAUUGACAGCCUUGUCUGGAUCUUCAACACAACCCCUCUCAUCACCAUAGAGCCAAAAACACCAGACAAACACGCCAAUGUCAUAGUGACCCAGAGUCAUAACAAGGAAAGGCUGGACUUCCUACAUGGAAACUAUUCCCUGAAGCUCAGCAAACUGGAUAAGAGUGACUCGGGUGAUUACCGCGUGGUGAUAUACAGUUCUUCCCUCAAAGACCCCUUCAUCCAGCAGUAUGGACUGCGUGUCUAUGAGCACCUGUCAAGGCCCAAAGUUACCAUGGGUCUGCAGAACAAUGAGAAUGGCACCUGUGUGACUAAUUUGACAUGCUUCAUGGACCAGGGAGGAGAAGAUGUGACCUACAGUUGGGAGUCCCUGGGGCAGGCGGCCAAUGAGUCCCAUAAUGGCCCCAUCCUCCCCAUAUCCUGGAGGCUGGGAAAAAAGGGCAUGACCUUCAUCUGUGUGGCCAGGAACCCCAUCAGCAGCAAUUCUUCAAACCCCAUCUUUGCCUGGAAGCUCUGUGAAGGUGCUGCUGCUGACUCAGAAUCCUCCAUGGUCCUGUAUGUCCUGUGGGUGCUCUUCCUGUUCAGUGCCUUUGCCCUGGUGCCAGUUAUUCUAAUUAUGCGAAGAGAAAGAAGAAAAGAGUCCAUUGAAGAGAAGAAGGGAAUAGAUACUCGUCAGGAAGUUCUUAACUACUACCCUCCUUCUGGAGAGACUCCAGUGUAUGACACAAUCAUCUGCGUUAAUAACACUAUUCCAGAGGAAAAUCUAGUAAAUGCACUUUAUUCCUCUGUGCAAAUACCUCAAAAGAUGGAGAAACCCCACUCUCCACCCACAUCACCAGACACACCAAGGUUAUUUGCCUAUGAGAAUGUGAUCUAAACAGCAGUGCAUCUCUUCUGCCUUGCCUCAAAGAAAAUUAAAAAAAAAAAAAAAAAAUCACUGAAUUGACCAGAAAUAUUGAGGAAGAAUGAAGAACACUGACUUCCUUCCAGAAUAACUAUCUUCUAUGCUCCUUCAGAUUUGAGUUCCUAAUUCCAUCCUCUCCUGAGAAAUCUCCUCAAACCCCAAAUGUGUAACUAUCCUUUCCUGGAAAUGUUACUGUGAGUUUAUCAACCAACUCCAAGCAAGAGGCUUAGAAGUAUCUCUAUUGAAAUGUAAAUGCGCUGUCCAUCAUAUGAAUGACAACUCCCAUUCCAGAGCUUGGAGAUCCAAACUAGACCAAGAGUCUGGUGGCCAAAAGAGUGAGAACAUAGGAAUGGCAGAUAUUUCCAGAAAAAGCAGAUGUAGCAGCCAGAAAUGGAUUCAUUAACCAACUCAUUACCUAUGUGCCUGGCACUGUGCUGAGCUUACACUGAUUUUGCUCAGGUGUGCUCUCUGCUUUCAUGAAAUUGGUUCCUCAUGAAUGACUUCUGUGAGCAUUAGCAGCACAUCUGAUCACAAAUGCCCAAUAACCAGAGUCAGCUGUGGAGCCAUAGGACUUGGGAGCCAAAGUGCGUAAGGACAGAGAAGCCAGGCAGAAGACAGGGUUUGGCUGGAUGGAUGCUCCAAAGUGUGACUGACCUGAAGACAAGAACCACAGCCUCAGCUUCAUUUACACUCUGUGCAGCAAGUGAGAAGCCAGGGCCAUAGGGCCUGUUCAGAAGCCCAUUUCAAAGGAGAAACUGAACCUGAAGACACAUUUAGAAUCUAUUAUAAAAGACUUGGAAUUAGGGGUGAUUGUGUAACUCACCCCCUAGCAGCGUGAUCAGCAGGAUGAUCCCGGAGGAAGAGAGUGGGAUAACCAGGAGGUGUGAGCACCUGGGCAAGUAGCAGUGGAAACCCAGGGUUCUGAAUGCCAGCCAGCUUUCUGCCCCGGGCAACAGAAGGCCUGGGCGUGACCCUUAAGGACUGUGAUACAAAAGAAGACCCCCUGGGACCCAGCAGCCCAGGACCCUGAGGAGAGCGGCCUAAGAACAACUCAAGUGAGGAGUGGCCCCUGGACUUAGCAAUGAGGAUGCGGCUGGGGACAGGGCAGACACAAAGGGUCAAAGAGCAAGUGGUUGGUAAGGAACCAGAGACAGGGAGUGGAGAGAUGUUCAGAAGCUGGCCGAGAAGAGGAAAGGGACAUAGUGAGUCUGGACUGAGACAGUGUCCUGCCACGGCCUGUGGAACCCAGGAGAGGCCGCCCACGACACCGGAGAGGCACAGCCUGGGAUUUCUGUCUCACGGCAGCUCCAGGCUUCGCUGAGGACAUGGCCAAGGACGUCUGGGAUGCCUCCUCAGUGGGCUCUGCAGGACUGUGUGGGCUGAGGGACGCACUUUCCCUCGGGGAGUCCCAAGAGUAAGCCGAGCGCCCGGGCACCAAGUCUGGGGCUGACCGUCGGAAGCUGGACAGCAUGGCCCUGGGAGGAUGGCCCCAGAGCCCUCAUUUCCUGCCCCCCACAGACAGCCCUGCUGCGGACGAUCCUGCCCUCCUUUUCUUCCACCACCCCUAGAACCAGGAGGGCGGCAGGUGGGGAUGCUGAGCUCCUGGACCGAGGCUGCCAGGGAGGGGGCCCACACAAGGAAGGGGUUACCUGAGCAGAGGGGCCUGGUGGGUAUGGAGUUGAAGCUCUGGCUGACCGGGUUGCUGGCCGUGCAGGGAUAGCUGUCGCUGACCCCGGGUCUCCAGGAGAGACGAAGAGUGGUUCCCCCAUGGGACAUAACUGCCCCCUGGCCGAGGGGUGCCCAUCUGUACUGAACAUCCUCUCCGGCCUGUCACAGGGAGCAGAUCAGGGUGAUGUAACAGGCCCCAUCCUUCGUGAUCCGGGAGCUGACAGUGAUAUUGGGCUCCCGCAGCUUCUCUGUGCAAGAAAGGAAAGUUCGAGCUCUGAGAAGACUCUGGUCUGGCCAAGCAGGGGAGAGAGGAAAGGUCAAAGUUCAAACAUGAGCCUUCCACCCCCUCCCUCACCGUAGACAUGCAGGGUGAAAUCCUUGGUGAUGUUGAUCGAGGGACUAUGCAGGGUGAUCCAGGCUCUGUAGAGGCCAGGGUCCUGCAGCCUCAGGGGCCUGAUCUGAAGAGAGUAGCCGCGGUAGAGGGCACUCCACCGUCUGCUGUAUGGUGCCUGAGUCCCGGCAGCCAGGACCGGUUCGCCUCCUGGCCCCACUUUCAUAAUGGCAACAAGCUCUCCAGAGCUCCAGGUGACCUUUUCCACCUCCUGCCCGGCCGGGACCUCCAGGGGCCGAAUGGCCAAGUCCCCGAGGAGACCGGUCACUGUCUCCCCCACCGUGUCCCCUUCCAGGAUUCCUGGCCCUACAGACAGACAGAAAACCACAGCUUCAGUGCCAGGGUCUCCCCUACGCACUCAGGGCCACCCAGGCCCCGUCAAGCUCCUCCUGCCCAAACCCCUCCAGCCUCCACACUGGUUCCAGUGCCCUCCCCCCCGAUUGCACUGCCGCCACCUGCCCAUGCCACUCUCUCAAGGGCGUUCUCCCCGGGGCCUGAAGGGGACUCUGCCCUCCACCUCUGCCCACUUCAGAGCCGCAGUGCACGGGGCAUGCUCAGGUUCCGGGUACCUGGACAUGAGGACAGCACUGGGACAGGGAGGGAGCUGCUGUUACUGACUGGGUUCUUGACCACGCAGGUGAAGGUCAGAGCCCUGUCCCCGAGCCUUGAGGAGACACUGAGGACAGAUCCUCCACGGGACACCAACAGUCUGGGGUCCCAGAGGUAGCCAGCUGUAGGUCACAGAGCCUCCUCUGCUUUCGGCCUCUCACGUCAGGAUGAAGAUACAGUGUCCACUCUCACCGAUCCUGGAGCUCAGUGUGACACCGGGCCGGGCCAGCUGCUCUGUGGGCACAAAAUGAACCAACCGAAGACUGCCGAACUGCCCUGGGCCCUCCCUUCACAGGGCAGAAGGCACAGGGCAUUGGUGCCAAGACCCUGAAUCAUCCUCAGUACACACAAGGAGAAACAGAGGCAGAAUCUGCCCACAUCUAUUCGAGAGCUUUGGGCUCUACGAGACCCUGCCAUGUAGCAUCAUUUGAUUCCCAGAACCACCCUAUGAAGUAGGUAGCAGAGGUUUUGCACCUACUCCGUUUAACAGGCUCGGGGACCUUCAAGUAACUUGCCCAGAGUCUCGGCUAUUACAUGAUGACUCCAAGACCCAAAUCCAGUGGAUCUGACCCCAAAGCCUGGGUUCCCACCCCAGCACUGACCACAUGAAUGCGGCGUGUGCCCACCCACACAGAACUGUGUUGUAAUUACAUCUCUCUCCAGGAGGGGUCUCUGCAGUACACAUCGAGCUUCCGGAUGUCCGAGCGUCCGGGUGCCCGUCGAGGCUCCCAGAAGAUUUGGCCCUUGGCCUUUGAGGGUUCUUCCACUCCCGUGUACUCCCUUCAACCUGCACCCCACCCCCUCUUCCCCCAGGCCCAGGAGCUCAGGUGGUUCCUUAAGGUUUCCACGUUGCCAUUAUUUGCCCUCCUGUGUCCCCAGGCCAGAGCCAGGGGGUUGGGGAGUGGCAGGAAGAGAAGCUAAGAGAGUGGUUAGUCAGGGCAGGCUCAACAAAGCCACAGGGUAUGGGAGAAGGCCUCUGUUACUCGGCCUCGGCCCUGGGGCCCACCUGACGGCAGCCCCAGCGGCAGCUCAACUGGGCAAAAAUAGGACCCCACGGCCCAGAAUGUCCCCCAGGGGGAAGGCAGGCUGGCUAACUUUCUGCUGCCGCCCCCGGUGUGGUCUUCCAGAACCCAAACCCUCCCCCCAUGACUCCUUCCGCAUGCCCUUCUCCCCUCAGCAGCCUCUCUAGCUCAAUCCCGUAAAUGCAGUGACAAACCAGACACACAGGAUGUGGCAUCGAGGUGCCUGAGUUCUAUUCCCGGCUCUGCCGCCUCUACCUCUGUGUUACUUCUCUCUGAGACUAGUUUCAGCAGCCCAGCAAGAAAAACCCCUCUGCUGCCUGCUGCAGGGCUGUCGUGAGGCUCCAGUGACUUGGGGAACUCCCUGAGAAGAACAAAAGGCUGGCCUGUUACUUCGCUGUAGCCGCUCCACUGGAGCAGAGGGAGAGGGGCUCUCCCCGCAGCCCUGGACCACCCUAGGGAACAGUCCCACCGAGGUCCCAGAAGCCCCGGUGUGCCCUCGAGCUGUCUGCGAACAGGCCAUGGCCAGGCCAGGCUUGAUGUAUGACAGAAAACGCUCUCUCCCCAGGAAGAAAAAAAAAUGCCUCAUCAAAUAGGAAUAUUUCCUAUAACAUGACUCAAGCCUGAAAAGCUUCUCUGCUUUCCCUCCAUCAGUUCACUUCCCCAUGUUCAUCCUCACGCAUAACUGUACCUUUUUGCUUCCCAGUGUGGGGGAGCACCUCAGCCAGGCCCCUCAGGUCCCUCAGGCAAAGCCUGGAACCACAGCUGAUCUGAGUCUUGGCAAAGUGCCCUGUGAUCCUCCCAGAAGACGAGAGGAUGGUGGCCCGUGAGACCCUGAAACCAUCUCCGCUGACCUCCCUUUCUCCCCUGGGAGGCACUGGUGAGUCAGUGUCUCAUGAGGAAGGAGCUUCCUGCUCCCACUGCUCAGAACAGAGCUGCAGACCCUGCCCCCUCAGGGCAGUCUAGAACUGCUUCUCUGGCUACAGGGUUUCCAGCACCUGCAUUGUGGUCAACUGGCCCCUUUUGUCAUUCUUUCUGGUGUGAGGGACCUGGGUUACUCUUUCACACUCUAUACGAGUAAUAAGCCGUCUGAAUCUACAAUCAGCUUGUUGUAUCUCUACAGGCUGAAUCAGCCUGUCCUCCUUGCUGCUGGGGUACCUGCCACCUGCCCCUAUGUCUUCGUUGCAGUUUUCCCUCCUGAAACAAUUUUUAAGUAUCUUUAAGCAAUAUUCCUGUACACUCCUGUACCUCUGUCCAGAGUGUCCCAACGCUCUUUCUCAGGAGAUUAUUCUCACCAGAUGGGAGUGUUCCUAUUUUAGCAUCAGGGAACCUCAAGAGCACUCAAGUAGCACAACUGAGUUCUUGGGGCUGAAGUUCCCAUUCUCUGUCCACUACACACCCGGGGGUUCUGCUGCCAUUGGCCUGGGGCACGUCCUGGGCCUUGUCGUUGUUCAGGAGACUUUCCCAGGCAACUCUGCUUUACAUGGUUUGUUGUGUUGUUUUUUUUUAUAGUGAGCACAUAUUAGCCUUGUAAUCAGAAAAAGUGUAAAUGUUACUAAACGAGAUGCGGAAAAGGCUGUGAGAAAGCCUGAAAGAUGAGCACUGCCCCACACCCAUUGCUGCCCGCCCGCAGGACGCUCACCAUAGACUUGCAGUUGGUACUCCCGGGUGCAGGUGAUGCGGGAGCUCCUCAGGUUCGUGUGGGCUCGGUAGGGCCCCGCAUCCUUCCAGCUCAGGUUGCUGAUCUGCAGGGAGUGGCCUGGGCCCACCACACUCACACGACCCCGGUACCGGGUCUCCGCCUCAUAAAAGGUGUCUGGCCCCCCUGCUUCUGCCAAGGUUACAAUGGCUAUGACCAUGGAGACGGAACGGGAUAUCCAAGAGAUGCUCUCCACCGGCUCUCCAGCCUGUAGCUGCAGGGGCAGAGUGACAGACCCCCCCUAGGGUCCCAGUUACCAUCACAGGGGCUGGGUCCUCUCCGGAAACCCCUGUCCCUGCAAAGACACAGAUCAGAAGCCUCAGGGGCAGCCUGACUAAGCCAGAGGCUCACAACAGGCCUGAGAGAGUUCAGGUAAGUGAUUAUUAUUCCCAUUUUAUAGAUGAGAAAACAGAGACCCAAAGAAAUUAGGUGGCUUGCUCCAGACCACAUAGCUAGUUGGUGAGAGAACAGGAACACAAGUCAGCCUCCUCCCUUUAUGCCAAAGUGGUCUUCUUCAGCCUUCACAUCAACUAAUUCACAUAUGAUACAAUAAUUAAUAGAUGCUGUGCUAGGGUUGCAGAUGCUGAGUGGAACGGAGAGAAAGGAAAAUUCUCGGGAGGUGCCUGGGGGGACGAUCUCUGCUGUGACUCUGAGCCACCCUCUUGCUGAUCCAGGCAAUAGGAUCAGAACUCACUUAGCCCAGCCCCACCGCAGCAGGAACCACCUUGUAGCAUCCCCCAUAAUCGCUUGUUCAGACACGGCUGAACAGAAGCCAGCUCUGAGGCUCUGCCUGGGUUCUGGGAACGUCUUUCUAGAAGGAAGGCUAGUGCUGGGCUGGCCAAGCAAGUUGAAGGGUAGUCAGGAGACAGUCAUUCAGUACCAGACUACUUGGGAGAAGAGCAUAAGCACCAGGGCACCAGUCAGACCGCCCGAGUUCAAACACUUGCUAGGUACCGGCUGUGUGACCUUGGGAGGCAACUUAUGCUCUUUGAGUCCUGGCUUUCUCACCUGUGAAACAGGGAGCGCAUGCCAUCUUCCAGGAUUUUGUGAGGGUGAAAUGAGAUAAUGCAAGUAAGUGCCUCACUGUUGGUGUUAUUAAAGAUUCUUGAUGUCGCUGGGACAACUUGGUGGCUGCACCUUGUUUGCAUCCUCACCAAAACCAGCCAGCACCCUUGUCGAGAAAUGCAAAAAGACCAGCGCUCAAUAGUGUGACCGUUGGAGUAUAUCUGCAACACUGACAUGCCGUCCCAGGAAACAGAAAGUCUGAAACUGACCCAGGUGUGCUGCACAGUGGUUUAGAAAGAAAAGGCUGCCUGGCUCAGGGAAGAAUCUGCGUCCUGAUUCAGAAUGGGAUGCAGAAGCGCCAGCCGCAUCACAGUUUCCAGGCCAGGUGG
Molecule: RNA transcript, 7864 nt
Organism: Callorhinus ursinus (northern fur seal)
Lineage: Eukaryota; Metazoa; Chordata; Mammalia; Carnivora; Otariidae
Gene: SLAMF7
Gene name: SLAM family member 7
Source: RefSeq, a predicted model, not a curated record